Molecule: non-coding RNA, 29 nt
Filed under: Mus musculus (house mouse)
Lineage: Eukaryota; Metazoa; Chordata; Mammalia; Rodentia; Muridae
Source: RNAcentral
UCCUAUUUACAAGAAGAGAUAGAGGACUA